Molecule: ribosomal RNA, 528 nt
Filed under: uncultured bacterium
Lineage: Bacteria
Description: bacterial SSU rRNA
Rfam family: Bacterial small subunit ribosomal RNA
Source: RNAcentral
CCUGGCUUAGGACGAACGCUGGCGGCGUGCCUAAUACAUGCAAGUCGAACGGUCUUUCUAUGGAAGCUUGCUUCCACUGAGAAGAUAGUGGCGAACGGGUGAGUAACACGUGGGUAACCUGCCCAUAAGAGGGGGAUAACAUCCGGAAACGGGUGCUAAUACCGCAUAGUUUUCUUGAUCGCAUGAUUGAGAAAGGAAAGACGGCCUUUGUGCUGUCGCUUAUGGAUGGACCCGCGGCGUAUUAGUUAGUUGGUGAGGUAACGGCUCACCAAGACGAUGAUACGUAGCCGACCUGAGAGGGUGAUCGGCCACAUUGGGACUGAGACACGGCCCAAACUCCUACGGGAGGCAGCAGUAGGGAAUCUUCCGCAAUGGACGAAAGUCUGACGGAGCAACGCCGCGUGAGUGAAGAAAGGGUUUUCGGAUCGUAAAACUCUGUUGUCAGAGAAGAACAAGUUGGAGAGUAACUGCUCCAGCCUUGACGGUAUCUGACCAGAAAGCCACGGCUAACUACGUGCCAGCCGCAGC